UCGCCAACGAGUGGCGGACGGGUGAGUAACACGUAGGUAACCUGCCCAGAAGCGGGGGACAACAUUUGGAAACAGAUGCUAAUACCGCAUAACAACGUUGUUCGCAUGAACAACGCUUAAAAGAUGGCUUCUCGCUAUCACUUCUGGAUGGACCUGCGGUGCAUUAGCUUGUUGGUGGGGUAAUGGCCUACCAAGGCGAUGAUGCAUAGCCGAGUUGAGAGACUGAUCGGCCACAAUGGGACUGAGACACGGCCCAUACUCCUACGGGAGGCAGCAGUAGGGAAUCUUCCACAAUGGGCGCAAGCCUGAUGGAGCAACACCGCGUGAGUGAAGAAGGGUUUCGGCUCGUAAAGCUCUGUUGUUAAAGAAGAACACGUAUGAGAGUAACUGUUCAUACGUUGACGGUAUUUAACCAGAAAGUCACGGCUAACUACGUGCCAGCAGCCGCGGUAAUACGUAGGUGGCAAGCGUUAUCCGGAUUUAUUGGGC
Molecule: ribosomal RNA, 489 nt
Filed under: Limosilactobacillus fermentum
Lineage: Bacteria; Bacillati; Bacillota; Bacilli; Lactobacillales; Lactobacillaceae
Description: bacterial SSU rRNA
Rfam family: Bacterial small subunit ribosomal RNA
Source: RNAcentral